AUUGAACGCUGGCGGCAGGCCUAACACAUGCAAGUCGAAUGGUAACAGGAAACAGCUUGCUGUUACGCUGACGAGUGGCGGACGGGUGAGUAAUGUCUGGGAAACUGCCUGAUGGAGGGGGAUAACUACUGGAAACGGUAGCUAAUACCGCAUAACGUCGCAAGACCAAAGAGGGGGACCUUCGGGCCUCUUGCCCUCAGAUGUGCCCAGAUGGGAUUAGCUAGUAGGUGGGGUAACGGCCCACCUAGGCGACGAUCCCUAGCUGGUCUGAGAGGAUGACCAGCCACACUGGAACUGAGACACGGUCCAGACUCCUACGGGAGGCAGCAGUGGGGAAUAUUGCACAAUGGGCGCAAGCCUGAUGCAGCCAUGCCGCGUGUAUGAAGAAGGCCUUCGGGUUGUAAAGUACUUUCAGCGGGGAGGAAGGGAGUAAAGUUAAUACCUUUGCUCAUUGACGUUACCCGCAGAAGAAGCACCGGCUAACUCCGUG
RNAcentral lists this ribosomal RNA (490 nucleotides) under uncultured bacterium. RNAcentral describes it as "partial 16S ribosomal RNA". It matches the Rfam family "Bacterial small subunit ribosomal RNA", at positions 30 to 507 of the family's 1533-position model. The record is from RNAcentral.